This 731-nucleotide long non-coding RNA is filed under the name Ailuropoda melanoleuca (giant panda). RNAcentral's name for it is "lncRNA (ENSAMEG00000030427.1)". The record is from RNAcentral. Lineage: Eukaryota; Metazoa; Chordata; Mammalia; Carnivora; Ursidae.
CUAGCCUUGUCUUGAUCCCUGGAAAUAAAUUUGCCUCCAGUGAAGCCUGCUUGCUUAUGCAGCCUUUGCUUACACUUUUUUCCCCUCAGGGAAUCUGAAAGAUCCAUUUACUCUUUUGCCAGAGCUAAAUAGAAUUGACACAAACACUUUGAGAGCUUCCCUAUUGGUUGGGUGGAACGCAUGACAUUUCCUGAAAAUUCCAUGCUCCUCUCUGGUCUUACCCUGUUACUCCUUUCUUUUUCCACCCAGUGUGAAAACUAUGAUAAAGCGAGAACCCGACUGAGAAGCAGCAGACCUCGCUGACCUUGGGCUCUACGGACACUGGUGAAUAUUAGCAUACUGUGCUCCAAGCUCCUGAUUUAGCAAGAACUGAUCUUCUAGAAAUGGGCCAGGCCCUUGGGUGCAACCUAGGACUCCACAGAGUGGGAGCAGUUUGCGGUGCAUUGAGAAGGUGUCGGCUUCCCACGUGUGGUUGGUGGAAGACGUAUUCUCUUUACCACUGUUUUGAUUCCAAGACGCUCUCAUCUUAACCAGUGGCUGAAGAUGACACUGGGAUGAUCUGUGGGACAGUUUGCCCUUUAAAAUCCAUUGGUUUGGGAAUUAAGAGAUCAGCUGUGUUCAUCCAACUUGAAAGUGAGCUAGAAAAAUAACAUACUUUGCUGGCUUCAUCUCUCAUAAAUCUCUCUUCAGUCUGAAGUGUUGUGCCAGAACUUUCCUCACUGUCACCACCA